CUACGGGUUGCUGCAGUGGGGAAUAUUGCACAAUGGGCGAAAGCCUGAUGCAGCGACGCCGCGUGAGCGAUGAAGUAUUUCGGUAUGUAAAGCUCUAUCAGCAGGGAAGAAAAAAUGACGGUACCUGACUAAGAAGCUCCGGCUAAAUACGUGCCAGCAGCCGCGGUAAUACGAAUGGAGCAAGCGUUAUCCGGAUUUACUGGGUGUAAAGGGAGCGUAGGCGGUCUUAUAAGUCUGAUGUGAAAGCCCGGGGCUCAACCUCGGGACUGCAUUGGAAACUGUAGGACUAGAGUGUCGGAGGGGUAAGUGGAAUUCCUAGUGUAGCGGUGAAAUGCGUAGAUAUUAGGAGGAACACCAGUGGCGAAGGCGGCUUACUGGACGAUUACUGACGCUGAGGCUCGAAAGCGUGGGGAGCAAACAGGAUUAGAUACCCCAGUAGUC
Molecule: ribosomal RNA, 441 nt
Filed under: uncultured bacterium
Lineage: Bacteria
Description: partial 16S ribosomal RNA
Rfam family: Bacterial small subunit ribosomal RNA
Source: RNAcentral